This 200-nucleotide unclassified non-coding RNA is filed under the name soil metagenome. Its description in RNAcentral is "partial contains internal transcribed spacer 2 and large subunit ribosomal RNA". The record is from RNAcentral.
CCUGUUCGAGCGUCAUUACAACCCUCAAGCAAUGCUUGGUAUUGGGCCUGGCUGUAACCAGCCGGCUUUAAAAUCAGUGGCGGUGCAUCUGGCUCUAAGCGUAGUAAAUUUUCUCGCUACAGAACCAUAUAGACACUGGCCAUUAACUUAUAUUUUCUAUGGUUGACCUCGGAUCAGGUAGGGAUACCCGCUGAACUUAA